GAUGAACGCUGGCGGCGUGCCUAAUACAUGCAAGUCGAACGCUGGAGAUCUAGCUUGCUAGAUCGAAGGAGUGGCGAACGGGUGAGUAAUACAUAAGCAACCUACCCACGAAGACUGGGAUAAUCUCUGGAAACGGGGACUAAUACCGGAUAGGUAAUCGGAAGGCAUCUUCUGGUUAUUAAAGGUUAAAAACACUGGUGGAUGGGCUUAUGGCGCAUUAGUUAGUUGGUGAGGUAACGGCCCACCAAGACGAUGAUGCGUAGCCGGCCUGAGAGGGUGGACGGCCACAUUGGGACUGAGACACGGCCCAGACUCCUACGGGAGGCAGCAGUAGGGAAUUUUCGGCAAUGGGGGCAACCCUGACCGAGCAACGCCGCGUGAGUGAAGACGGCCUUCGGGUUGUAAAGCUCUGUUGUAAGGGAAGAACGGUAGAUAGAGAAUAUCUAAGUGACGGUACCUUACCAGAAAGCCACGGCUAACUACGUG
RNAcentral lists this ribosomal RNA (486 nucleotides) under uncultured bacterium. Its description in RNAcentral is "partial 16S ribosomal RNA". It matches the Rfam family "Bacterial small subunit ribosomal RNA", at positions 28 to 507 of the family's 1533-position model. The record is from RNAcentral.